AACGAACGCUGGCGGCGCGCCUAAUACAUGCAAGUCGAGCGAGAAGACGUAGCAAUACGUUUGUAAAGCGGCGAACGGGUGAGGAAUACAUGGGUAACCUACCCUCGAGUGGGGAAUAACUAGCCGAAAGGUUAGCUAAUACCGCGUACGCUCCUUGGACUUCGGUUCAGGGAGGAAAGCGAUACCGUGGGUAUCGCGCUCUUGGAUGGGCUCAUGUCCUAUCAGCUUGUUGGUGAGGUAACGGCUCACCAAGGCUUCGACGGGUAGCUGGUCUGAGAGGACGAUCAGCCACACUGGCACUGCGACACGGGCCAGACUCCUACGGGAGGCAGCAGUAAGGAAUAUUGCGCAAUGGGCGAAAGCCUGACGCAGCGACGCCGCGUGGGGGGAGUGAA
RNAcentral lists this ribosomal RNA (395 nucleotides) under uncultured bacterium. RNAcentral describes it as "bacterial SSU rRNA". It matches the Rfam family "Bacterial small subunit ribosomal RNA", at positions 29 to 414 of the family's 1533-position model. The record is from RNAcentral.